RNAcentral lists this transfer RNA (76 nucleotides) under Clostridia bacterium. Its description in RNAcentral is "tRNA-Gln". It matches the Rfam family "tRNA". Rfam says of the family: Transfer RNA (tRNA) molecules are approximately 80 nucleotides in length. Their secondary structure includes four short double-helical elements and three loops (D, anti-codon, and T loops). The record is from RNAcentral. Lineage: Bacteria; Bacillati; Bacillota; Clostridia.
UGGGGUGUAGCCAAGCGGUAAGGCAAUAGACUUUGACUCUAUCAUUUCGUAGGUUCGAAUCCUGCCACCCCAGCCA